Molecule: long non-coding RNA, 214 nt
Organism: Rhinopithecus roxellana (golden snub-nosed monkey)
Lineage: Eukaryota; Metazoa; Chordata; Mammalia; Primates; Cercopithecidae
Exons: 3
Source: RefSeq, a predicted model, not a curated record
GGGCGCGCGGAGACUAAAUUCAUGCUAGAUAAGAGUGCUGGCUUUGAUGUGGUUGAAUGCUUGCUCACCGUCACACAGCUGGAGAGACACAACUGGAGAUAAGGAAACCGAGGCCCGGAACAAUGAAGGAAGCUGAGACCACACAGGCCGCGAGCGUCCAGGCCUCUCUGAGAAACACCCGGAUGCAUUUCCCGCAGCAAGGCUCCCUGGGAAG